UUGCCAGCCGCCGCGGUAAUACGGAGGGUGCAAGCGUUAUCCGGAUUCAUUGGGUUUAAAGGGUGCGCAGGCGGAUUAUUAAGUUAGUGGUGAAAUCCCGGGGCUCAACCUCGGAACUGCCAUUAAUACUGGUAAUCUGGAAUACGGUUGAAGUGGGCGGAAUGUAGCAUGUAGCGGUGAAAUGCAUAGAGAUGCUACAGAACACCGAUCGCGAAGGCAGCUCACUAAGCCGAUAUUGACGCUCAGGCACGAAAGCGUGGGGAGCGAACAGGAUUAGAUACCCUGGUAGUCCACGCCGUAAACGAUGAUAACUCGUUGUUGGCGACACACAGUCAGCGACUAAGCGAAAGCGAUAAGUUAUCCACCUGGGGAGUACGAUCGCAAGGUUGAAACUCAAAGUAGUAGUGGACGUGAGACGUACGCGACGAGCACAGGAGGAG
RNAcentral lists this ribosomal RNA (440 nucleotides) under uncultured bacterium. RNAcentral's name for it is "bacterial SSU rRNA". It matches the Rfam family "Bacterial small subunit ribosomal RNA", at positions 505 to 943 of the family's 1533-position model. The record is from RNAcentral.